This 301-nucleotide ribosomal RNA is filed under the name Salmonella enterica subsp. diarizonae serovar 50:k:z. RNAcentral describes it as "partial 23S ribosomal RNA". It matches the Rfam family "Bacterial large subunit ribosomal RNA", at positions 1 to 310 of the family's 2925-position model. The record is from RNAcentral. Lineage: Bacteria; Pseudomonadati; Pseudomonadota; Gammaproteobacteria; Enterobacterales; Enterobacteriaceae.
AAGCGACCAAGCGUACACGGUGGAUGCCCUGGCAGUCAGAGGCGAUGAAGGACGUGCUAAUCUGCGAAAAGCGCCGGUAAGGUGAUAUGAACCGUUAUAACCGGCGAUGUCCGAAUGGGGAAACCCAGUGUGACUCGUCACACUAUCAUUAACUGAAUCCAUAGGUUAAUGAGGCGAACCGGGGGAACUGAAACAUCUAAGUACCCCGAGGAAAAGAAAUCAACCGAGAUUCCCCCAGUAGCGGCGAGCGAACGGGGAGGAGCCCAGAGCCUGAAUCAGCAUGUGUGUUAGUGGAAGCGUC